UACUUGUUAGUUAAAUUUUUUAAGGUUUAGUCGGUUAGUGUGCCUUUUGCAUCAUGCUUAGUAGAUGUUAUGAAUUAUUUUCUUUUAUCGAAAGAGUUAGAUUUCAUAGAAGGCUUAUUAGAAUUAGUAGUCGGGUAGACGUUUGAUUAGACUUUGCAUGUGUUGUGAUAAAUUAGUCGGUAACUUUUAUAUCUAUUUUAUAGCUAGUUAUUUUUUAUAUUCUUAUGGUUAUAAUAUCGUGGGAAAGUGUAUACUUUGUUUUAUUUAGUUUUAAGAAAGGGUUAAAAUUACCUAAUUUUUAUAAAAGUGUUACAAUUUUAUUAAAUUUUUAUUUUUAAGUUACUUUUAUUAGCUAUUACUUUGUUAAUUUAUAGUAUUUGUUUAUUAUUAAAUAAGUAAUUUAAUCAUAUUUAAUUGUUUCUCAAGUUUUGCCCGUCUGUUUAUUAAAAACAUUUCUAUACUAAAAGGUUGUAUGGUAGUACCUGCUCUAUGUUUUUAUAAAUGGCCGCAGUAUCUUGACUGUGCGAAGGUAGCAUAAUUAAUUGCCUCCUAAUUAGAGGCUUGUUUGAAUGGUUUGACGUGGUAAAUACAAACAUUUAGUAUUUUUUUGAAAUUAAUGUUGAGGGCACAGAAUCCUCAUAUAAUUAAUUAGACGGAAAGACCCCGGGAUCUUUCUUUUUUGCCUGGGGCAGGUUUAGGUGUUUCACCUAUAUUGUGAUCCUUAAAAAAGUUUAGUGAUUUAAGUUACCCCGGGGAUAACAGUGUAAUAAAUUAUUAGAGACCUUAUCGAAUAAUUUGUUUGCCACCUCGAUGUUGACUUAGAUGUUUAUGCUAGGCGCAGUAGUUUAGUAUUUUGGUCUGUUCGACCUUUUUCAUCUCCAUGAGUUGAGUUAAGACCGGCGUAAGCCAGGUCGGUUCUUAUCUAUUUAUCUAGCUUGCUAGUACGAAAGGAUUGUAAGCUGUUUUUUU
This 969-nucleotide ribosomal RNA is filed under the name Caulobothrium sp. MZUSP 7990. RNAcentral's name for it is "16S ribosomal RNA". The stretch from base 647 to 927 matches the Rfam family "Archaeal large subunit ribosomal RNA", at positions 2151 to 2715 of the family's 2987-position model. Lineage: Eukaryota; Metazoa; Platyhelminthes; Cestoda; Tetraphyllidea. The record is from RNAcentral.